Molecule: microRNA, 21 nt
Filed under: Bos taurus (domestic cattle)
Lineage: Eukaryota; Metazoa; Chordata; Mammalia; Artiodactyla; Bovidae
Description: bta-miR-2310
Source: miRBase by way of RNAcentral
GUUUUGUUUGGGUUUGUUUCU